RNAcentral lists this ribosomal RNA (304 nucleotides) under uncultured bacterium. Its description in RNAcentral is "partial 16S ribosomal RNA". It matches the Rfam family "Bacterial small subunit ribosomal RNA", at positions 509 to 807 of the family's 1533-position model. The record is from RNAcentral.
CAGCAGUCGCCGCGGUAAAACGGAGGGUGCAAGCGUUAAUCGGAAUUACUGGGCGUAAAGCGCACGCAGGCGGUCUGUCAAGUCAGAUGUGAAAUCCCCGGGCUUAACCUGGGAACUGCAUUUGAAACUGGCAGGCUAGAGUCUUGUAGAGGGGGGUAGAAUUCCAGGUGUAGCGGUGAAAUGCGUAGAGAUCUGGAGGAAUACCGGUGGCGAAGGCGGCCCCCUGGACAAAGACUGACGCUCAGGUGCGAAAGCGUGGGGAGCAAACAGGAUUAGAUACCCGUGUAGUCCCUGUCUCUUAUAC